Molecule: ribosomal RNA, 504 nt
Filed under: uncultured bacterium
Lineage: Bacteria
Description: partial 16S ribosomal RNA
Rfam family: Bacterial small subunit ribosomal RNA
Source: RNAcentral
AUUGAACGCUGGCGGCUUGCCUUACACACGCAAGUCGAACGGCAGCAUGGAGAGCUUGCUCUCUGAUGGCGAGUGGCGAACGGGUGAGUAAAGCAUCGGAACGUACCGUGUAGUGGGGGAUAACGUAGCGAAAGUUACGCUAAAACCGCAUACGCACUGAGGUGGAAAGCAGGGGAUCGUAAGUCCUUGCGCUAUACGAGCGGCCGAUGUCAGAUUAGCUAGUUGGUAGGGUAAAGGCCUACCAAGGCGACGAUCUGUAGCGGGUCUGAGAGGAUGAUCCGCCACACUGGGACUGAGACACGGCCCAGACUCCUACGGGAGGCAGCAGUGGGGAAUUUUGGACAAUGGGGGCAACCCUGAUCCAGCCAUGCCGCGUGAGUGAAGAAGGCCUUCGGGUUGUAAAGCUCUUUCGGCCGGGAAGAAAUCGCACAGGCUAAUACCCUGUGUGGAUGACGGUACCGGCAUAAGAAGCACCGGCUAACUACGUGCCAGCCGCCGCAGUAA